UCUACCUUAAGUUGGAGGAUAACCCCCGAGAAAUACGGGCCUAAGAGCCGCAGGAUGAGCGGCGCCGCAUGGUGAAGUUGUUAAAGUCUAUAUGGCGACGGGAAGAGGACUCGCGUCUGAUUAGCUAGUUGGUAGGGUAAAGGCCUACCAAGGCACGAUCAGUAGCUGGUGUGAGAGGAUGAUCAGCCACAAUGAAACCGAGACCGGUCCAGACUCCUACGGGAGGCAGCAGUGAGGAAUAUUGGGCAAUGCCGCAAGGGUGACCCAGCAACCCCGCGUGGAGGAUGAAGGCCGUAAGGUCGAAACUCCUGUGAGAGGGGAAGAACACUCCCGAUCAAAUCGGGAAUUGACGUACCGCUCAAAGCAAGCCCCGCCUACCUACGUGCCAGCAGCCGCGGUA
Molecule: ribosomal RNA, 400 nt
Filed under: uncultured bacterium
Lineage: Bacteria
Description: bacterial SSU rRNA
Rfam family: Bacterial small subunit ribosomal RNA
Source: RNAcentral